UACAGAGGGGGCAAGCGUUGUUCGGAAUUACUGGGCGUAAAGGGCGCGUAGGCGGCCCGCUAAGUCGAACGUGAAAUCCCCAGGCUCAACCUGGGAACUGCAUCCGAUACUGGAUGGCUUGAAUCCGGGAGAGGGAUGCAGAAUUCCAGGUGUAGCGGUGAAAUGCGUAGAUAUCUGGAGGAAUACCGGUGGCGAAGGCGGCAUCCUGGACCGGCAUUGACGCUGAUGAGCGAAAGCUAGGGGAGCAAACGGG
This 253-nucleotide ribosomal RNA is filed under the name uncultured bacterium. Its description in RNAcentral is "partial 16S ribosomal RNA". It matches the Rfam family "Bacterial small subunit ribosomal RNA", at positions 524 to 776 of the family's 1533-position model. The record is from RNAcentral.